CUGGUUGAUCCUGCCAGUAAUAUGUGCUUGUCUCAAAGAUUAAGCCAUGCAAGUCCAAGUGCACACGGCCAUUACAGUGAAACUGCGAAUGGCUCAUUAAAUCAGUUAGGGUUCCUUUGAUCACUCCACUCGGUUACUUGGAUAACUGUGAAAAUUCCAGAACCAAUACAUGCCAACGCGUGCCGACCUGGGCCGCCCGUCUCCCCUUUGGGGCGAGGGGGUGGAUCCCCAGGGACGCGUGCAUUUAUCAGAUCCAAAACCUAUGUGAGUGCGCGGCCAGCGGAGAAGGGGGCCACGCGCCUUCCCACCGCCGUCCACUCCCGGCUUUGCUUUGGUAACCUUGAGCCUAGAUAACCUUGAGCCGUUACCGUACCCUUGCGGCAGCGACUGUUAAUUCGAAUAUCUGCCCUAUCAACUUUCGAUGGUAGAUUCGUCGCCUACCAUGGUGACCACGGGUGACUGGGAAUCAGCGUUCGAUUCCGAAGAGGGUGCCUGAGAAACGGCCACCACAUCCAAAAGAGACAGCAGGCGCGCAAAUUACCCAUUUUCGAGCCGGAGAGGUAGUGACGAAACAUAACAAUGCAGAUUUCUCUUAGGGACUCUGUAAUUGGAAUUAGUGUAUCCUAAACCCAUGAGCGAGAACCCAUUUUAGGGCAAGUCUGGUAACAGCAGCUGCGGUAAUUCCAGCUCCAAUAGCGUAUAUUAAAGUUGCUGCAGUUAAAAAGCUUGUAGUUAAAACUCGUGGUCUGGACCUGGUGGUGCUGGUUCUGGAUUCCCAGCCCUCAAGGUGCCCCCUGAAUGCCUUUAACUAGGUGUCCUAGGCUUGGGACCCUGAGCAUUUACUUUGAAAAAAUUAGAGUGUUCAAGGCAGGGUUGGCACUGCGCUCCAUUGAAUACCCCAGCUAGGAAUAAUGGAAUAGUACCCCGGUUCUAUUUUCUGGGGGUUUCCAGAACCCGGAGCCAUGAUUAAGAGGGGUGACUGGGAGCAUUCGUAUUGCGUCGCUAGAGGUGAAGUUCUUGGACCGGCGCAAGACGGACCAGGGCGAAAGCAUUUGCCAAGAACGUUUUCAUUAAUCAAGCACGAAAGUCAGAAAGUCUGAGAUUUGAAGACGAUCAGAUACCGUCGAAAUUCCGACUGUAAACGAUGCCGACCCGCCAUCCGGCGGCGUUACUCCCAUGACCUGCCGGCCAGCGUGCGGGAAAUCACAGGUCUUUGGGUUCUG
Molecule: non-coding RNA, 1223 nt
Filed under: Danio rerio (zebrafish)
Lineage: Eukaryota; Metazoa; Chordata; Actinopteri; Cypriniformes; Danionidae
Description: Eukaryotic small subunit ribosomal RNA
Rfam family: Eukaryotic small subunit ribosomal RNA
Source: Rfam by way of RNAcentral